RNAcentral lists this ribosomal RNA (253 nucleotides) under uncultured bacterium. Its description in RNAcentral is "partial 16S ribosomal RNA". It matches the Rfam family "Bacterial small subunit ribosomal RNA", at positions 524 to 776 of the family's 1533-position model. The record is from RNAcentral.
UACAGAGGAGCCAAGCGUUGUCCGGAUUGACUGGGCGUAAAGCGCACGCAGGCGGUUGCGCGCGUGGGGGGUGAAAUCUGGCCGCUUAACGGCCAGGCGCCAUCCCAUACGGCGCGACUGGAGUGAUGCAGAGGUCGAUGGAAUUGCCGGUGUAGUGGUGAAAUGGGUAGAGAUCGGCAGGAACACCCAGGGGGAAACCAGUCGACUGGGCAUCUACUGACGCUGAGGUGCGAGAGCGUGGGGAGCGAACCGG